Molecule: long non-coding RNA, 622 nt
Filed under: Equus caballus (horse)
Lineage: Eukaryota; Metazoa; Chordata; Mammalia; Perissodactyla; Equidae
Description: lncRNA (ENSECAG00000054682.1)
Source: RNAcentral
CUAGAUUUUUGUUAAUGUGGUGAAUGAAACUGAUGUUUCCACCGGUCAUCCCAAUAUCCAGAGCUACAAGAAAUCUACUGGUUGGUAAUUCUCACAAGCACCAUCCAGGUUUCCCAGAUGAGGAAAUCAGGCUUAGAGACAAUAAGUGGCUUUGUCCCAGGCCUCAGUCAGGAAGGGCCAGAGCCGGGAUUUGAAUGCAAGACUCUCUACCACUUUCCAUUGCACCAGGCAGAGAGGAAGAAGGAAAAAAUACAAGUAUGCUUGAAUGUCCACCACCUUCCGGGCACUGUGUUGACGUGGGACAUGGCAGCGAACGAGACAAACCCUGCAGAGCCCUGGGGAUCUCACAUGAGCAAAAGCUUCACUUCUGAGAUCCCUGAGUCACCGUGUAAGAUGUCUGACACCCCUGCUCAUGGGACCAUGGGAAAAGGCCAUGUGGAGAGGAAGAGAGGCCCAGCUGAUGACUCAGCAUCUUAGUUCAGCCUCCAGAUGACUCCAGCCCCAGCCUUUAUCUGGAUGCACCUACGUGAGAGACCCCGAGCAGACCAGCAGAAGAACCAGCAAGCUGAACCCAGUCCACCCACUGACCCAGGAGAGAGAAUAAAAUAGUGGUUGUUUUAAA